RNAcentral lists this transfer RNA (74 nucleotides) under Burkholderiales bacterium. Its description in RNAcentral is "tRNA-Cys". It matches the Rfam family "tRNA". Rfam says of the family: Transfer RNA (tRNA) molecules are approximately 80 nucleotides in length. Their secondary structure includes four short double-helical elements and three loops (D, anti-codon, and T loops). Lineage: Bacteria; Pseudomonadati; Pseudomonadota; Betaproteobacteria; Burkholderiales. The record is from RNAcentral.
GGCGGGGUGGCAGAGUGGUUAUGCAGCGGCCUGCAAAGUCGUGUACGCCGGUUCGAUUCCGACCUCCGCCUCCA